CCUUUCGCCUUCUUUCUUCUUCUUCUGCU
RNAcentral lists this small RNA (29 nucleotides) under Arabidopsis thaliana (thale cress). Its description in RNAcentral is "ATSL134960". The record is from RNAcentral. Lineage: Eukaryota; Viridiplantae; Streptophyta; Magnoliopsida; Brassicales; Brassicaceae.